AUGGACCGCGCGUCCACUGCGGUUGUGAGCGCGCCGUCCGCGUCCACCUGAGAGCGGCUCGCUACGUGUUGUUAGCC
RNAcentral lists this small RNA (77 nucleotides) under Xanthomonas oryzae. Its description in RNAcentral is "sX9 sRNA". It matches the Rfam family "Xanthomonas sRNA sX9". RNAcentral also lists the same sequence under 4 other names. Lineage: Bacteria; Pseudomonadati; Pseudomonadota; Gammaproteobacteria; Lysobacterales; Lysobacteraceae. The record is from RNAcentral.